GUGAGGAAUAUUGGUCAAUGGGCGCAAGCCUGAACCAGCCAUCCCGCGUGCAGGAAGACGGCGCUAUGCGUUGUAAACUGCUUUUCCAGGGAGAGAAACUUGCGCACGUGUUGCGCAAUUGACGGUACCCUGGGAAUAAGCAUCGGCUAACUCCGUGCCAGCAGCCGCGGUAAUACGGAGGAUGCGAGCGUUAUCCGGAUUCAUUGGGUUUAAAGGGUGCGUAGGCGGACUAUUAAGUCAGUGGUGAAAUCCUGCAGCUUAACUGCAGAACUGCCAUUGAUACUGAUAGCCUUGAGUUUGGUUAAGGUAGGCGGAAUGUGUAAUGUAGCGGUGAAAUGCUUAGAUAUUACACAGAACACCAAUUGCGUAGGCAGCUUACUGAGCCGACACUGACGCUGAGGCACGAAAGCGUGGGGAUCGAACAGGAUUAGAAACCCGAGUAGUCC
This 446-nucleotide ribosomal RNA is filed under the name uncultured bacterium. Its description in RNAcentral is "partial 16S ribosomal RNA". It matches the Rfam family "Bacterial small subunit ribosomal RNA", at positions 354 to 796 of the family's 1533-position model. The record is from RNAcentral.